CCUUUCUUUCCCACAUCCAUCCAUCUCCUCGCUGUCUCGCCCGACGGAGAGAGAGAGAGAGAUGCCUCCUCCCUUCCAGAUCGCCGCUGGCACCUCCCUCCGGCGGAGCUGGCCGCCAUCCAUGGCCUCCCGCACGCCCUACUCCUCUCCCCUCCCCUUCCCCCACCCAACCAAACCGCACGUCCUUGGCCACAUCCCCGCUCGAUCUCGUCGGGAACGAGGCCUCCUGCAACCACCGGCCUUCAUCGAUCCAACCAUCCAUCCAUGCCCGCAGCAGCACUCCAGCCGCUUGUGCUCCUUCCCCAGCAGCGCACCCCGGCGCCUCCUCGUCCCCACACAGCCCGCGAGGCACCGGCCUCCUCUGCUUCGCGCCUCCCGAGCACCGACCAGGAGCCCGAGCUCCAUCUUCUACGCCCGCGUCUGAGCGAGAGGAGCUCACUGCUCGAGCAUGCACAAGACCCAUGGCGCCCUCCCGAGCUCCUCCCGUGCGUGCCUCCACUCGUUCUCGUCUCCCUCCGUCUUCAUCGCAGCACCAUAGGACCAAUAGCUCCACCGCGCGUGCCCGUCGGCGGCAAGAGUCCCAGGCCAGUGAGCCAAGCCUCUCCCUUGCCUUCUCCAUUUCCCGUGCUCCCUUUCUUCUCUUCCCUCGCUAACCUCCGGCUCUCUCUGUCCUUUUCUCGGUAUGACAGCCAACGCCAUGGACAGAGUCUGUCCAGGAUCUCGCUGCUCGGACCCGCUUCCUCUGGCCACCGAAGCCUCUGACCAGCCUCGUCGCAUGGACCUCCUCCCCCACCUGGCAAAUCCGUCCUCUCCUGCCCGUUGACCAUUGCCGCCGGAGCCGUAUAUCGCCCCUCACUGGACCAGUUUGAUGGAGUUCCCAAAAUGCCCGACUCCAACGGCAAUGACAUGCACCACGAGGAGGAUGAUGGCCUCUUCACCUACUCCGACCCCAUCCUCCCCGACGCCUGGUCGUAGCCCUGUACAUAAGUCAGAAUUCGGCCAUGGCGGAUCUGCAGACGCCGCUGGUGCGACCAAAGAGGAAGAAGGUUCUGGUGGACUACCUGCUAAGGUUUGCUUAGCUCGUGCGGAUGGGAGACAGAUGCCCGCACGGAUCCGGUGUCUCCGACCUCGGCAUCCACAAGGAGGAGCAGCGACAAUUACAUACCCAACCAUGGGGCAGCAUCAAUUCAUGGAAGGCAAGUUGUUGCAUCUGGAGCACAUCAGAGGGAGCAAUAAAGUUUGUACUACUUGGUUCUUACCAUUAGGACAGUACAAGAUGUGCUAAUACGAGUUGAACAAUGUUAUGUAGUAGUAAGUUAAGGCAAAUUGUGUAGAUGAUGUAUUCUUGUGUAAGUAAAUGUUGUAUUCCCUGUGUACAUGAAGAUUAUGAAAAUUGUGUGCAUGCUACUA
Molecule: long non-coding RNA, 1410 nt
Organism: Triticum urartu
Lineage: Eukaryota; Viridiplantae; Streptophyta; Magnoliopsida; Poales; Poaceae
Source: RefSeq, a predicted model, not a curated record